Molecule: non-coding RNA, 504 nt
Organism: Solea solea (common sole)
Lineage: Eukaryota; Metazoa; Chordata; Actinopteri; Pleuronectiformes; Soleidae
Source: the annotation of a RefSeq genome assembly
CAUUUCCAUAGAGAGUGACUUUGCAUCAGCAGCACCAUGCUCCAGUGCUCUGGGACACUUUAUAGUCCUGACAGUUGAAGACUGGAGGACUGACAGCUGUCCUUCAUGACAACACAAGACACAGAAAUCAUGACUUUCACCUCCGUCCUCAUCUGGACUCUCCUCUGCUGCUGCCUCACAGAGUCCAGAGAACAGGUCACAGUGACUCAGUCUGGAGCAGUAACAUCUGCUCUGGGAGGAUCUGCCACCAUCACAUGUAGAACCAGUCAGAAUGUCUACAACUCAAACUGUCUAUCCUGGUACCAACAGAGAGAUGGAGAAACUCCUAAACUCCUUAUUUACCUUGCUUCCACUCGAGCAUCAGGGAUUCCAGGUCGUUUUACAGGCAGUGGAUCAAAUUCUGACUUCACUCUGACCAUCAGUGGAGUCCAGGCUGAAGAUGCUGCAGUUUACUACUGUCAGAGUUAUCACUACAUCAACAGUAAAUAUGUGUUCACACAGUGA